GUCCAAUGUCGUUGGAGUGUUGACAAUGCUGUAAUAUAUGCAAGAACUAUUAAAAUAAAUAUAAAAAAACUGAGUAUGGACGUUACUAUUUCUUAUUGUCUUGUGAAUGGAAAAGCACCAUGUUGAAGGUUUUCAUGGUAUGGAGAAAAAGUUGAUGUCUUCAUCGUUAUCAAAGUUCGAAUCAGUGAUAACCUUCGACUGUUUUGAAACAGUCGGUAUGAUUGUGGUUACUUACUUGGAAGCGUUUCAUGAAGCCAUUUGAUAUAAUAGGCUUGAUUGGCGGUACAGUCUUCUGUGGCUGUUUUAAGUGGCAAGUUUCGCAAAGAUUGAUAUACUCUUCAAUAACCGAUCUUGGGAUACCCCAAAAUGAACUUGAAACCUUAGUAGGAAAAAUACGAAUUGAGUAGUUAUUUGUAUCAAUCUUUAUAUUUUGUCUAGGGUACAAUUUUUUAUGUAAAUAUAGUUAUUAAUUCUGAUAAGAAAACACUAAUACCUUUU
Long non-coding RNA from Hydractinia symbiolongicarpus, 498 nucleotides. RefSeq lists it as uncharacterized. The transcript has 2 exons. The record is from RefSeq and is a predicted model, not a curated record. NCBI's taxonomy places the organism in Eukaryota, Metazoa, Cnidaria, Hydrozoa, Anthoathecata, Hydractiniidae.